RNAcentral lists this ribosomal RNA (470 nucleotides) under uncultured Caryophanales bacterium. RNAcentral's name for it is "uncultured Bacillales bacterium partial 16S ribosomal RNA". Lineage: Bacteria; Bacillati; Bacillota; Bacilli; Caryophanales. The record is from RNAcentral.
CACGUAGUUAGCCGGGGCUUUCUGCUCAAGUACUGUCAACACAUGAAUCUAUUCGACUCAUGUGAGCUCAUUCUUGAGAACAGAGCUUUACAAUCCGAAGACCGUCAUCACUCACGCGGCGUUGCUCCGUCAGGCUUGCGCCCAUUGCGGAAAAUUCCCUACUGCUGCCUCCCGUAGGAGUCUGGGCCGUGUCUCAGUCCCAGUGUGGCCGAUCACCCCUCUCAGGUCGGCUACGCAUCGUCGCCUUGGUAGGCCGUUACCCCACCAACAAGCUAAUGCGACGCGGGCCCAUCUACUAGUGAUAGCCGAAGCCAUCCUUUCCCCUCUUCUCAUGCGAGAGAGAUACGUCCGUAUAGCUCCGGUUCCGAGUUCUCCAGGCUAAGUAGGUAGGUUCGCCCACGUGUUACUCCACCGUUCGCCGCUCGACUCCACCGACCCGGGAGGUCGCUUCGUCCGCGCUCGUACUUGAC